Molecule: microRNA, 22 nt
Filed under: Cordylochernes scorpioides
Lineage: Eukaryota; Metazoa; Arthropoda; Arachnida; Pseudoscorpiones; Chernetidae
Source: RNAcentral
GUCCAUCACAGAGCAGCUCGCU